RNAcentral lists this unclassified non-coding RNA (385 nucleotides) under soil metagenome. RNAcentral describes it as "partial contains 5.8S ribosomal RNA, internal transcribed spacer 2, and large subunit ribosomal RNA". The stretch from base 1 to 120 matches the Rfam family "5.8S ribosomal RNA", at positions 35 to 154 of the family's 154-position model. The record is from RNAcentral.
GAUGAAGAACGUAGUGAAAUGCGAUAAGUAAUGUGAAUUGCAGAAUUCAGUGAAUCAUCGAAUCUUUGAACGCACCUUGCACCCUUUGGCAUUCCGAAGGGUAUGCUCGUUUGAGUGUCAUUGUACUCUCACACUCCCAAUUGCUUUGGAUUGGGAGCGGUGGACUUGGGUGUUGCUGCUUGACUGAGGCUCACCUGAAAUAUGUUAGUGCACCUCUUGAUUGGACAUAGUACGGCGUGAUAAGUUUCUUCGCCGGCUCCUCGCAAAGAGGGUGGCCGAUCGGGAGCUCUGUUGCUUCAAACUGUCUUCGGACAAUCUUCUGGCGACUUGACCUCAAAUCGAGUAGGACUACCCGCUGAACUUAAGCAUAUCAAUAAGCGGAGGA